GAAGAGGGUCGGGUGAUCGCCGGUUGUUUCUUUGGAAACAUACGGGAGGAAAGUCCGAGCUCCACAGGGAAAGGUGCUGGCUAACAGCCAGGCGAGGUAACUCGACGGAAAGUGCCACAGAAAUAAACGGCCGUCCAAGUACAGUUUUGUAACCGGCGGUCACGGUGAAAAGGUGCGGUAAGAGCGCACCGCGAUUGCGGUAACGUUAAUCGGCUAGGUAAACCCCACCUGGAGCAAUGCCAAAUAGGGAUUUGCGUGACAAUUGUCACAUCGGUUUCUCGCCGAAGAAUUCGGGUAGGCAGCUUGAGCAUUAUGGUAACGUAAUGUCUAGAUGAAUGAUCACUGUUUCAUUUAUUGAAAUACAGAACUCGGCUUAUAGACCCUCUUCAACA
Molecule: RNase P RNA, 392 nt
Filed under: Myxococcales bacterium
Lineage: Bacteria; Pseudomonadati; Myxococcota; Myxococcia; Myxococcales
Description: RNase P RNA component class A
Rfam family: Bacterial RNase P class A
About the family: Ribonuclease P (RNase P) is a ubiquitous endoribonuclease, found in archaea, bacteria and eukarya as well as chloroplasts and mitochondria.
Source: RNAcentral